This 510-nucleotide ribosomal RNA is filed under the name uncultured bacterium. RNAcentral's name for it is "bacterial SSU rRNA". It matches the Rfam family "Bacterial small subunit ribosomal RNA", at positions 372 to 875 of the family's 1533-position model. The record is from RNAcentral.
UGGGCGCAAGCCUGAUCCAGCAAUGCCGCGUGCAGGAUGAAGGCCUUCGGGUUGUAAACUGCUUUUGUACGGAACGAAAAGCCCUGGGUUAAUACCCUGGGGUCAUGACGGUACCGUAAGAAUAAGCACCGGCUAACUACGUGCCAGCAGCCGCGGUAAUACGUAGGGUGCGAGCGUUAAUCGGAAUUACUGGGCGUAAAGCGUGCGCAGGCGGUUUUGUAAGACAGAGGUGAAAUCCCCGGGCUCAACCUGGGAACUGCCUUUGUGACUGCAAGGCUAGAGUACGGCAGAGGGGGAUGGAAUUCCGCGUGUAGCAGUGAAAUGCGUAGAUAUGCGGAGGAACACCGAUGGCGAAGGCAAUCCCCUGGGCCUGUACUGACGCUCAUGCACGAAAGCGUGGGGAGCAAACAGGAUUAGAUACCCUGGUAGUCCACGCCCUAAACGAUGUCAACUGGUUGUUGGGUCUUAACUGACUCAGUAACGAAGCUAACGCGUGAAGUUGACCGCCUG